CGGGACGUGGCUCAGUCUGGAAGAGCACAGCGUUCGGGACGCUGGAGUCGCUGGUUCAAAUCCAGCCGUCCCGACCA
Molecule: transfer RNA, 77 nt
Filed under: Desulfobacterales bacterium
Lineage: Bacteria; Pseudomonadati; Thermodesulfobacteriota; Desulfobacteria; Desulfobacterales
Also listed under: 2 other names
Description: tRNA-Pro
Rfam family: tRNA
About the family: Transfer RNA (tRNA) molecules are approximately 80 nucleotides in length.
Source: RNAcentral